UCUCAAAGCCCUGGAGCUGACCAAUAGUGGCCCAGAGCUCUGCAUGAACUAAAUGCUCACCCAAGUGUCUUCAAAAGGGUGGCAUGGAGAGAGCACACCAUAGAGAAAAUGUCUGUAUUGCUCUUUCCCAGUGCCUGCGGUGGGUGUGGGACAUGUUGGGCCGUCCUGUGGCUGUUGCUGGAGUCUCCUUUUUGCUUCGGCUGGGCCAGGAGCUCUUGGAGGGUAGAUGCAAUUUUCCCACCAGCUGGGUUCUUAGCACCAGCUACAGUACUGGGAUUGUGGAUCCCUAGGGCCAGGUGGAUAAGACUGGGGCAGGAGAUAAAUCACAGGACGUGGGAGAAAGAGACAGAGGGAGCUGUUGGAGAAGAAAGGUUGCUCACUUUAAAUAGCCAUGCUUUUAGGGAAUAGGGGAAAGUCUUUUGACUGAGUUGAGGCUUGUGACAGUGGCAGUGACAGUAACAGUGACAGUGACGGAUAAGAACAUUUUGACUGGAUGAAGCAAAAGCGAAAAAAAAAAAC
This 519-nucleotide long non-coding RNA is filed under the name Rattus norvegicus (Norway rat). RNAcentral's name for it is "long non-coding RNA NONRATT013604". Lineage: Eukaryota; Metazoa; Chordata; Mammalia; Rodentia; Muridae. The record is from RNAcentral.